AGUGAACGCUGGCGGCAGGCCUAAUACAUGCAAGUCGAACGGCAGCACAGUGGAGCUUGCUCCAUGGGUGGCGAGUGGCGGACGGGUGAGGAAUACAUGGGAAUCUGCCCAGUCGUGGGGAUAACGUAUGGAAACGUACGCUAAUACCGCAUGCGCCCUUCGGGGAAAGUCGGGGACCGCAAGGCCUGACGCGAUUGGAUGAGCCCAUGUUCGAUUAGCUAGUUGGCGGGUAACGGCCCACCAAGGCGACGAUCGAUAGCUGGUCUGAGAGGAUGAUCAGCCACACUGGAACUGAGACACGGUCCAGACUCCUACGGGAGGCAGCAGUAGGGAAUAUUGGACAAUGGGCGCAAGCCUGAUCCAGCCAUGCCGCGUGAGUGAAGAAGGCCCCUCGGGGUUGUAAAAGCUCUUUUGUUGGGGAAGAAAAGCAGUUGGUUAAUACCCGAUUGUUCUGACGGUACCCAAAGAUAAGCACCGGCUAACUUCGUGCCAGCAG
This 496-nucleotide ribosomal RNA is filed under the name uncultured bacterium. Its description in RNAcentral is "bacterial SSU rRNA". It matches the Rfam family "Bacterial small subunit ribosomal RNA", at positions 29 to 514 of the family's 1533-position model. The record is from RNAcentral.